This 440-nucleotide ribosomal RNA is filed under the name uncultured bacterium. RNAcentral's name for it is "partial 16S ribosomal RNA". It matches the Rfam family "Bacterial small subunit ribosomal RNA", at positions 338 to 795 of the family's 1533-position model. The record is from RNAcentral.
CCUACGGGAGGCAGCAGUAGGGAAUAUUGCUCAAUGGGGGAAACCCUGAAGCAGCAACGCCGCGUGAAGGAUGAAGGUGUUCGGAUUGUAAACUCCUUUUUUUCGAGAAGCUAAUGACGAUAUCUGACGCAUAAGCACCGGCUAACUCCGAGACAGCAGCCGCGGUAACACGGAAGGUGCAAGCGUUACUCGGAAUCAAUGGGCGUAAAUGGCGCGUAGGGGGGAUAGCAAGUCAGAUGGGAAAUCCUAUGGCUUAACCAUAGAACUGCAGUUGAAACUGGUAUUCUAGAGUAUGCGAGAGGUAGGUGGAAUGCGUGGUGUAGCGGUAAAAUCCGUAGAGAUCAAGAGGAAUACUCAUUGCGAAGGCGACAUGCUAGAACAUAACUGACGCUGAUGCGCGAAAGCGUGGGGAGCGAACAGGAUUAGAUACCCGAGUAGUC